Molecule: ribosomal RNA, 1444 nt
Filed under: Mycoplasmataceae genomosp. P1 oral clone MB1_G23
Lineage: Bacteria; Bacillati; Mycoplasmatota; Mollicutes; Mycoplasmatales; Mycoplasmataceae
Description: 16S ribosomal RNA
Rfam family: Bacterial small subunit ribosomal RNA
Source: RNAcentral
GAUUAACGCUGGCGGUACGUCUAAUACAUGCAAGUCGAACGGGGUAGGUAACUACCCAGUGGCGAACGGGUGAGUAACACGUAGGUAACCUGCCUACAAGUUGGGGAUAACACAAGGAAACUUGUGCUAAUACCGAAUAAUGAUGUUUUUAGGCAUCUAAAAACAUUUAAAGGACCGUUAGGUCUGCUUGAAGAGGGGCCUGCGGCGCAUUAGUUAGUUGGUAAGGUAAUGGCUUACCAAGACGAUGAUGCGUAGCUGGACUGAGAGGUUGAACAGCCACAUUGGGACUGAGAAACGGCCCAGACUCCUACGGGAGGCAGCAGUAGAGAAUCUUCGGCAAUGGGGGAAACCCUGACCGAGCGAUACCGCGUGAGUGAUGAAAUACUUCGGUAUGUAAAAUUCUUUUAUUAAAGAAGAAUGAUAUAAAUAGGCAAUGAUUUAUGAGUGACGUUAUUUAAUGAAUAAGUCCCGGCUAACUAUGUGCCAGCAGCCGCGGUAAUACAUAGGGGACGAGCGUUAUCCGGAAUAAUUGGGCGUAAAGGGUGCGUAGGCGGUGUGUUAAGUUCAAGGUUUAAUCGUAGGGCUCAACCCUAUAUCGCUUUGAAAACUGGCACACUAGAGUAAGAUAGAGGCAAGUGGAAUUCCAUGUGUAGCGGUAAAAUGCGUAAAUAUAUGGCAGAACACCAGAGGCGAAGGCGGCUUGCUGGGUCUUCACCGACGCUGAGGCACGAAAGCGUGGGGAGCAAACAGGAUUAGAUACCCUGGUAGUCCACGCCGUAAACGAUGAGCACUAAAAGUCGGGGUUAUUCGGCUUUCAAGUUAACGCGAUAAGUGCUCCGCCUGAGUAGUACGUACGCAAGUAUAAAACUCAAAGGAAUUGGCGGGACCUCGCACAAGCGGUGGAUCAUGUUGUUUAAUUCGUUGAUACGCGAUGAACCUUACCAGGCCUUGACAUACCUUGCAAUGCACCAGAAAUGGACGCGGAGGUUAUCAGGGAUACAGGUGGUGCAUGGUUGUCGUCAGCUCGUGUCGUGAGAUGUUAGGUUAAGUCCUGCAACGAGCGCAACUCUUAUUGCUAUUUGCCAUCAUUCAGUUGGGCACUAUAGUGAGACUGCCAGUGAUAAACUGGAGGAAGGUGGGAAUGACGUCAAAUCAUCAUGCCCCUUAUGGCCUGGGCCACAAACGUGAUACAAUGGUUGUCACAAAAGGAUGCUAGAAAGUGAUUUUAGGCAAAUCCUUAAAUACAAUCUCAGUUCGGAUUGAAGUCUGCAACUCGACUUCAUGAAGUCGGAAUCGCUAGUAAUCGUAGAUCAGAACGCUACGGUGAAUACGUUCUCGAGGUUUGCACACACCGCCCGUCAAACCACGAAAGUUAACAAUACCCAAAACCGGUGGCCUAACUUUAUAAGAAGGAGCCGUCUAAGGUAGGGUUAAUGAUUGGGGU